GCCUGGGUGGCUCAGUAGGUUAAGCCUCCGACUUCUGCUCAGAUCAUGAUCUCACAGUUCGUGGGUUCAAGCCCCACGUCUGGCU
This is a non-coding RNA of Felis catus (domestic cat), 85 nucleotides long. NCBI's taxonomy places the organism in Eukaryota, Metazoa, Chordata, Mammalia, Carnivora, Felidae. The record is from Rfam.